CUCUGGGCUGAGUCCACUUUAGACAUGGCGCUCAGCCCAACACCCACCCAGAAGUCUGGCAUUUCAGGCCCAGGGCAUCUCCAGGAAGACAGACAGACCGACCUGGGUCUGGGCUCAGGCUGAGAGGGAGCCUUUGCACCCCACAGCCCGGUGUCUAGCAGAGCCUGUGGCUCCCAGAUCGCCUCAUUGUCCCCACUGACAAGCCAGAGAGGCCCCAGCAGGGCUGCUCCAGAGCCCCAGCCCACCAGGUCGCCCACCCCCAUCUCCCUCUCUGGGUUUCCAGCUCUGUUUCACCCCGACUCCGCCUGGGGUUCACAGUGGGUGCCCAGACCAGCCUCCUGCCGGGUCCGGGAGGGUGCAGACCAAGCCAAGGGCUUCGGAUGGCCACGAGGCCCAGAGGGACCCUGGCGUUCUGAGGGCCGCUGUGGAAAGAGGUCCAGGGCUUGCGCCCCCUUUGCAUGUGAGGAAGCCGAG
This is a long non-coding RNA of Eptesicus fuscus (big brown bat), 474 nucleotides long. RefSeq lists it as uncharacterized. Lineage: Eukaryota; Metazoa; Chordata; Mammalia; Chiroptera; Vespertilionidae. The record is from RefSeq and is a predicted model, not a curated record. The transcript is spliced from 3 exons.